CCUACGGGUGGCUGCAGUGGGGAAUAUUGGGCAAUGGGCGCAAGCCUGACCCAGCAACGCCGCGUGAAGGAAGAAGGCUUUCGGGUUGUAAACUUCUUUUCUCAGGGACGAAGCAAGUGACGGUACCUGCGGAAUAAGCCACGGCUAACUACGUGCCAGCAGUCGCGGUAAUACGGAGGUGGCAAGCGUUAUCCGGAUGUACUUGGUGUAAAGGGCGUGCAGCCGGAGAGACAAGUCAGAUGUGAAAUCCACGGGCUCAACCCGUGAACUGCCUUUGAAACUGGUUCCCUUGAGUGUCGGAGAGGUAAUCGGAAUUCCUUGUGUAGCGGUGAAAUGCGUAGAUAUAAGGAAGAACACCAGUGGCGAAGGCGGAUUACUGGACGAUAACUGACGGUGAGGCGCGAAAGCGUGGGGAGCAAACAGGAUUAGAUACCCUUGUAGUC
Molecule: ribosomal RNA, 443 nt
Filed under: uncultured bacterium
Lineage: Bacteria
Description: partial 16S ribosomal RNA
Rfam family: Bacterial small subunit ribosomal RNA
Source: RNAcentral